Molecule: ribosomal RNA, 940 nt
Filed under: uncultured bacterium
Lineage: Bacteria
Description: bacterial SSU rRNA
Rfam family: Bacterial small subunit ribosomal RNA
Source: RNAcentral
UGCAGUCGAGGGGUAUAGUUCUUCGGAGCUAGAGACCGGCGCACGGGUGCGUAACGCGUAUGCAACCUACCUUUCACAGAGGGAUAGCCCAGAGAAAUUUGGAUUAAUACCUCAUAGUAUAAUGAUGUGGCAUCACAUUAUUAUUAAAGUUCCAACGGUGAAAGAUGGGCAUGCGUCCCAUUAGCUAGAUGGUAAGGUAACGGCUUACCAUGGCUACGAUGGGUAGGGGUCCUGAGAGGGAGAUCCCCCACACUGGUACUGAGACACGGACCAGACUCCUACGGGAGGCAGCAGUGAGGAAUAUUGGACAAUGGGCGCAAGCCUGAUCCAGCCAUGCCGCGUGCAGGAUGAAGCAUCUAUGGUGUGUAAACUGCUUUUGUACGARAAGAAACAGCUCUUCGUGAAGAGCCUUGACGGUAUCGUAAGAAUAAGGAUCGGCUAACUCCGUGCCAGCAGCCGCGGUAAUACGGAGGAUCCAAGCGUUAUCCGGAAUCAUUGGGUUUAAAGGGUCCGUAGGCGGGCCAGUAAGUCAGUGGUGAAAUCUCCCGGCUCAACCGGGAAAUGGCCAUUGAUACUGCUGGUCUUGAAUUAUUAGGAAGUAACUAGAAUAUGUAGUGUAGCGGUGAAAUGCUUAGAGAUUACAUGGAAUACCAAUUGCGAAGGCAGGUUACUACUAAUGGAUUGACGCUGAUGGACGAAAGCGUGGGUAGCGAACAGGAUUAGAUACCCUGGUAGUCCACGCCGUAAACGAUGGAUACUAGCUGUUGGGCGCAAGUUCAGUGGCUAAGCGAAAGUGAUAAGUAUCCCACCUGGGGAGUACGUUCGCAAGAAUGAAACUCAAAGGAAUUGACGGGGGCCCGCACAAGCGGUGGAGCAUGUGGUUUAAUUCGAUGAUACGCGAGGAACCUUACCAAGGCUUAAAUGUAGAUUGACCGUUUUG